UUUUUUUUUUUUUUUUUUUUUUGAGACAGAGUCUCCCUCUGUCACCCAGGCUGGAGUGCAGUGGUACAAUCUUAGCUCAUUGCAACCUCUGCCACCAGGGUUCAAGCAAUUCUCUUGCCUCAGCCUCCUGAGUAGCUGGGACUACAGGUGCUGACCACCAUGCCAAGCUAAUUUUUGUAUUUUUAGUACAGACAGGGUUUCACCAUGUUGGCCAGGCUGGUCUCAAACUCCUGAUCUCAAGUGAUCUGCCCACCUUGGCCUCCCAAAGUGCUGGGAUUACAGGUGUGAACAGGUGUGAGCCACUGCGCCCAGCCGAGACCAGUUGCCUCAAUUGUCAGUUUCCUCCUCUCUCCCCUUCUCAGGUCUAUCAUGGCAGAAUUUGUCCCAGAACAUAAAACUACAGAACACCCCAGUUUCGGUGUGAGAAAAGAGCCUAGGCAUCUCCUAAUUUAAUGGGCUUCAAAUGGUUUGGCUCAGUUGUCCUAAGCAAUAAAAAUAAUUUGAGUAUGUAACCUCAAUUGAUGUAUAUUUAUUCAUUUAUAAAUGACAUACUUCUGUACCAACAUACUUUAAGACAUAUACAAAAAUUAUAUUUAAAAAGAAAAAUAAAUAAAAUGAUAAUAUUUUCUCCUGUGCCUUAAUGGAUUAGCUUUGUUCCUUUUGGGAUAUGUGAAUCUGUUUUGGAGACAACUUACCUAAUUCAGCCUGAUCUGCUAAUCUCCUCUGUAACUCCCCACCAAGAGGAAAUUCAACCUUUUCAUGAACACUUGGAGGGACACCCAAUCCAUUUUUGGAAACAUCUAGGCGUUUCUUGAUUACCAUGCUCUGGAUGGCCAAAUCGGGGGGUUUUCAUGCAGUAUCACACCUGGACUUCGAGCCACAAGUGAACACUUCUCUGGGCGCCUCACUUCUGGCUCUCCCUGGAUCUCACUGCAACCUGAGUGCCAGAGCUGUGAAGACUGCAGCAAAGUCCUCCAACUGCCACGAAAGCCUCUCCUAAUUCACCAGUUCCAGAAGGCUGCCUGCUUCCCUGGCCACAGGGGUAGGCUUGGCUGUUACCUUCCCAAAUGGAAAAUGAGGGUGUAGAUUUCAUUGCCCAUUACUGCCCACUUCUCCUGAUCUACCUUUGAUGAUACCAGAGUGGAUUACAUUAUUUGGACUGUAUGCUAUCCUGGGCUAUUCCGAGGACAACACUUGAAACGGGAAAGAAUGAUGUGCCUGGGCCCACCAGAGAUUAUGGGAAACCUUGAUGCUGUUUAUCACCUUGAUUCAAAUUUCAUGUUCACAGCCUGAGUCUACAAAGAAGAGAAACAGAAGAGGGAAGCCUGGUGUAAAACUCUUUCAUUCCAUUCUUGUCUGUCUUUAUCUGCUCCAACUGUGAGGGCUGCUUACCCUAGAAGCAGAUCAAUGCAGAGAUGGACACAUUUGCAGCACCUACAAAGGGUGAGAAAAGACAGGGGAUUCCCAGGCACCGGAAGAAUGAGGAAAACAGUGACCUUUGUUCCCAGGCUACAGAAAAAUGCUGUAUCUAAACUGACAUCGGCCGGCUGGAUGGCAUUUAGAAGCCAAAUGAACUGCUGUUAAGCGGCGAGGUCAGGGGUUCAGCUAAUUGUGGAACCACGGGCACUCCCCACAGACCCAGAAAUCUUUGUAAUCUAUGGCUUAGGGACAUACAUUGUGAAGGUGAUUUUUACAGUUCAUCUUUGAAAAUAGAAAGA
This is a long non-coding RNA of Homo sapiens (human), 1718 nucleotides long. RefSeq lists it as uncharacterized. NCBI's taxonomy places the organism in Eukaryota, Metazoa, Chordata, Mammalia, Primates, Hominidae. The record is from RefSeq and is a predicted model, not a curated record. The transcript is spliced from 4 exons.